RNAcentral lists this ribosomal RNA (301 nucleotides) under uncultured bacterium. Its description in RNAcentral is "partial 16S ribosomal RNA". It matches the Rfam family "Bacterial small subunit ribosomal RNA", at positions 509 to 808 of the family's 1533-position model. The record is from RNAcentral.
CAGUAGCCACGGGAAUACAGAGGAUGCAAGCGUUAUCUGGAAUGAUUGGGCGUAAAGCGACUGUAGGUGGCUUUUCAAGUCUGCAGUCAAAUCCCAAGGCUCAACCCUGGACAGGCGGCGGAAACUACCAAGAUGGAGUACGGUAGGGGCAGGGGGAAUUUCCGGUGGAGCGGUGAAAUGCGUUGAGAUCGGAAAGAACACCAACGGUGAAAGCACUCUGCUGGGCCGACACUGACACUGAGAGACGAAAGUUAGGGGAGAAAAUGGGAUUAGAUACCCCCGUAGUCCCUGUCUCUUAUAC